Long non-coding RNA from Gasterosteus aculeatus aculeatus (three-spined stickleback), 548 nucleotides. The record is from Ensembl. Lineage: Eukaryota; Metazoa; Chordata; Actinopteri; Perciformes; Gasterosteidae.
AACGACGACUUCUGAUUCCAGACAGCAGCUUCCUGGGUGGCACUGAACUUUUCCCUCGAUUCAAGGAACUAGAAAGAAGGCUUCGCUCUGGGGCCAUGGAUUGCGUGGGGGUUGUCAGGACCGGCUCAUGUUUAUUGCAGGGGAACACGUUGUGAGUGACUGGCUCUGUGACGACCCUGGGAGUGUGAUGGCAGAGAGGCUUUUUGGUUGCAGAUGCAGAUGUUUUACCACCUCAACGCAGCCAUGUGCACAACAGGCCGGAGGCUCCACUCUGCCUGACCCAGUUGCUGGGAACUGGGGCUUCCAGCGCUGCAGUCCCCGCCGUAAGAAACCCCCCUGCCUUCCCCCCAUUCCUCCGCCUAAUGAGGAACAGAGGAGAGGAUAUCAGGCCCUCAAUCAGCGCUAGACCCCUUCACAUGUGUUUCAAUGAAUCUCCGGUCAUGGGCCGAGCCACUUUCGAAUCGCGCCGGCGAAUCCUUAUCAGUGCCCCUCGGAGGACGCCGUCAACGGCUACCGCACGAGCAGUCGCUGACAGGCAACGCCUCGGC